RNAcentral lists this ribosomal RNA (377 nucleotides) under uncultured bacterium. Its description in RNAcentral is "bacterial SSU rRNA". It matches the Rfam family "Bacterial small subunit ribosomal RNA", at positions 76 to 453 of the family's 1533-position model. The record is from RNAcentral.
AAGGCCCCUUCGGGUACACGAGUGGCGAACGGGUGAGUAACACGUGGGUAAUCUGCCCUGCACUUCGGGAUAAGCCUGGGAAACUGGGUCUAAUACCGGAUAUGAGCUCCUGCCGCAUGGUGGGGGUUGGAAAGUUUUUCGGUGCAGGAUGAGUCCGCGGCCUAUCAGCUUGUUGGUGAGGUAACGGCUCACCAAGGCUACGACGGGUACCUGGUCUGAGAGGACGAUCAGGCACACUGGAACUGAGACACGGUCCAGACACCUACGGGUGGCAGCAGUCGAGAAUAAUUCACAAUGGGGGCAACCCUGAUGGUGCAACGCCGCGUGGAGGAUGACGGUCUUCGGAUUGUAAACUCCUGUCAUCUGGGAGUAAGACC